UGCGUAGGCGGCCCGGGAAGUUGGGUGUGAAAUCCCUCAGCUUAACUGAGGAAUUGCAUUCAAAACUGCCGGGCUUGAGGGAGACAGAGGUGAGCGGAACUUAGGGUGGAGCGGUGAAAUGCGUUGAUAUCCUAAGGAACACCGGGGGCGAAAGCGGCUCACUGGGUCUUUUCUGACGCUGAGGCACGAAAGCUAGGGGAGCGAACGGGAUUAGAUACCCCGGUAGUCCUAGCCCUAAACGAUGAGCACUGGAUCGGAGAACAUCCCAUAGUUUUCUGGUCGUAGCAAAAGCGUUAAGUGCUCCGCCUGGGGAGUAUGGUCGCAAGGCUAGAA
This 333-nucleotide ribosomal RNA is filed under the name uncultured bacterium. Its description in RNAcentral is "bacterial SSU rRNA". It matches the Rfam family "Bacterial small subunit ribosomal RNA", at positions 568 to 899 of the family's 1533-position model. The record is from RNAcentral.